GCCAAUGUGGCAUAGUGGCUUGAGUGUUGGACUAUGACUUUGGAGAUCAGAGUUUGAAUCCCUGCUUAGCCA
Molecule: non-coding RNA, 72 nt
Organism: Phrynosoma platyrhinos (Desert horned lizard)
Lineage: Eukaryota; Metazoa; Chordata; Lepidosauria; Squamata; Phrynosomatidae
Source: the annotation of a GenBank genome assembly